CUCUCUCUCUCUCUCUCUCGCGGUCUGAAUCUCUCAAUCCCUUCUCCUUCAUGUUCUUCUCAAUCCCAAUCUGGUGAGUGGGCUCCUGUUGUAUGCUGAUAUGGGAUUGGGGCAGUUGGCUGGGGAGUCGUGCUUUCUCUCUCUCUUUUCCCUUCCCAUCCAACGAAGCCUCCUCGAGCAACCUCAAAAGGUUCGACCAGAGAGAGAGACAGACAUUUCGAAUCCUAAAGCUUCCAACUUUUCUCUCUCUACUCUUCUCUUUUUUUUUUUUAGGGCUGAAAUGUGUUCUGUCACUCGAUCUCUGGACGACACGGUCCAUGGCGUUGUCUACUUCAGAAAAGGUUCACAGACAGAGCUGAAACUUGAUGCUGGGGUUUUGCUUUGUUCCUACAUUUCAAGUGAACAAAUCUUAUAUUACUUGGAGGUAUUCUCAGAAGUAAUGAAUUAAUACACCUAAGAUUUGGCAUUGGGAAUGAAGCCAUUGGUCCGUGUAGCAUAUUCAUGUAUGUAUCGAAUUAAUAUUUCCUCUAGCAGACACCAUGCUUAUGGAUGUGAAUCCAGAAACUCUAAGAUUUGUCUUUUUUUUAUAUGAGUUUCAAUAGUCUAAAUGGGAUUCAAGUUUUGAAAUGGGUUUGAAAUAUACAAGUGUUCUCUAGCCUUGUCUAAAUCAAUUUUAUGUUUUUGUUUUUCCAUUUUUUUCAUUAUGUAAUGCAAUCUAUAAUAUCUAUGAAGUUCAUGUCUUCUUCUUUGUAGUUUUGCACCUUAAAUGUUUAUUUAUUUACUUCAUUGAACUUCAAUGUAAUGGCUUUCAUUUUCCUACAUAUUUCCUACAACUACAAAGGGUUUUGCACCUUAAAUGUUUAUUUAUUUACUGUGGUCUAUGAUUUGUUUGUAGUAAUUCUCCAUAUGGUAUGUAGAUUCAAUCAUUUCACUUUUUAUUGGAUUGAAACAUUUGUCUAAUCUUUUUAUUUUGUUAGGAUUUCCCCUCUUGUUUGUGACAGGAAACAAACAAGAAUUCUGCAUGUCAAGUGUUUGAAGAUAUUUCCGAGAGAUAACCCAUCAACCCAUCAAACCAUCAACCCAAUGCUGUUGAAAAACUUAUGGAACAUUUCUUUUCUCCUUGAGUAGGGGUGGUAGUGAUUUGACAACCACAACCAUUGGUAAAGCUCUGGGGUUGCGAGAAAUUCAGGUCAAUGCUUACCCUAAAUACAUUUAUGUCAAAAGUUGUUCAUAUAUCUGCAUAUGUAUACAUGGAUAUGGGAUAACAUUGUAGAUAACAUACUAUGGAAUAGUGUGAAACAGUGUAUUCUUAUGAGCUCUAGUUGUAUGAAAAUUUAAUUCAGGUUCUAUAAUUUGUAAUUGCACGACUUCCAUACAAGUUUCUAGACAAAUAAGAACAUGUUUUUCAAUCCAUUACUGGUGUGGAAGGAUGUUGAUGGUGUUUUGACGUGUGAUCCUAACAUAUAUGCACUCGCAGAACCUGUGCCAUAUCUAACAUUUGAGGACCUGGCAGAGCUUGUUUAUUUUGGUGCUCAGGUAUCAUUUUAGGGAAAUUCUACUAUACACACCUCCUACCUUAUGCACCCCUAAGUUAUUUCAUUUUCUUCUUUAGUUAUGACCAAUUUUCUUAUUUAGUUAUGACCUUAUUUUAGUUAUAAUUCAUGAGAUCUUUGGUUAUGCGUCAUGUGUUGUUUGGUUAUAGCCUCUCUUUUUUUUUUUUUUUUAGUUAUGACUCUGAAAGUAUAAAGUUAUGUCAUUUUAUUUUUUAGUUAUGAGGUGCAUACGGUACACCCCAAUCUAGAAACAAACACUGCUAGACAAAACAAAUGGAGGUAGACUAUGAAUUUUCCAUAAGCCCCAUCCAGAAGGAUGAUGGACAAAAACAAAUCAAAGGCUUCCAUAACCUGCGAACCAAGAGCCCCAAAACU
Camellia sinensis is the source of this 1928-nucleotide non-coding RNA. The record is from RefSeq and is a predicted model, not a curated record. NCBI's taxonomy places the organism in Eukaryota, Viridiplantae, Streptophyta, Magnoliopsida, Ericales, Theaceae.